RNAcentral lists this ribosomal RNA (429 nucleotides) under uncultured bacterium. RNAcentral describes it as "bacterial SSU rRNA". It matches the Rfam family "Bacterial small subunit ribosomal RNA", at positions 355 to 776 of the family's 1533-position model. The record is from RNAcentral.
UGGGGAAUAUUGGACAAUGGGCGCAAGCCUGAUCCAGCAAUGCCGCGUGUGUGAAGAAGGCCUGCGGGUUGUAAAGCACUUUUCUGAGAGAAGAACGCACCCAGAUUAAGAGUCAGGGUGUCUGACGGUAACUUAGGAAUAAGCACCGGCUAACUCCGUGCCAGCAGCCGCGGUAAUACGGAGGGUGCAAGCGUUAAUCGGAAUUACUGGGCGUAAAGGGUACGUAGGCGGUUUCUUAAGUCGGAUGUGAAAGCCCUGGGCUUAACCUGGGAACUGCAUUCGAUACUGGGGAACUUGAAUCUGACAGAGGCUGGUGGAAUUUCCGGUGUAGCGGUGAAAUGCGUAGAUAUCGGAAGGAACAUUAGUGGCGAAGGCGGCCAGCUGGGUCAAGAUUGACGCUGAGGUACGAAAGCGUGGGGAGCAAACAGG